UACAUGGGGUGCAAACGUUGCUCGGAAUUAUUGGGCGUAAAGCGCGCGUAGGCGGUUGCUCAAGUCGGAUGUGAAAGCCCUCGGCUUAACCGAGGAAGUGCACCCGAAACUGAGCAGCUAGAGUACGAAAGAGGGUCGCGGAAUUCCCGGUGUAGAGGUGAAAUUCGUAGAUAUCGGGAGGAACACCGGUGGCGAAGGCGGCGACCUGGGUCGAUACUGACGCUGAGGCGCGAAAGCCAGGGGAGCAAACGGG
This 253-nucleotide ribosomal RNA is filed under the name uncultured bacterium. Its description in RNAcentral is "partial 16S ribosomal RNA". It matches the Rfam family "Bacterial small subunit ribosomal RNA", at positions 524 to 776 of the family's 1533-position model. The record is from RNAcentral.